GAUGAACGCUGGCGGCGUGCCUAAUACAUGCAAGUCGAGCGAACGGACGAGAAGCUUGCUUCUCUGAUGUUAGCGGCGGACGGGUGAGUAACACGUGGAUAACCUACCUAUAAGACUGGGAUAACUUCGGGAAACCGGAGCUAAUACCGGAUGAUAUUUUGAACCGCAUGGUUCAAAAGAGAAUGACGGUCUUGCUGUCACUUAUAGAUGGAUCCGCGCUGCAUUAGCUAGUUGGUAAGGUAACGGCUUACCAAGGCAACGAUGCAUAGCCGAACUGAGAGGGUGAUCGGCCACACUGGAACUGAGACACGGUCCAGACUCCUACGGGAGGCAGCAGUAGGGAAUCUUCCGCAAUGGGCGAAAGCCUGACGGAGCAACGCCGCGUGAGUGAUGAAGGUCUUCGGAUCGUAAAACUCUGUUAUUAGGGAAGAACAUAUGUGUAAGUAACUGUGCACAUCUUGACGGUACCUAAUCAGAAAGCCACGGCUAACUACGUG
This 497-nucleotide ribosomal RNA is filed under the name uncultured bacterium. Its description in RNAcentral is "partial 16S ribosomal RNA". It matches the Rfam family "Bacterial small subunit ribosomal RNA", at positions 28 to 507 of the family's 1533-position model. The record is from RNAcentral.